GGGCCCGUAGCUCAGUCUGGGAGAGCGCUCGGCUUUUAACCGAGUGGUCGCGGGUUCAAUUCCCGUCGGGCCCG
Molecule: transfer RNA, 74 nt
Organism: Methanobacterium sp.
Lineage: Archaea; Methanobacteriati; Methanobacteriota; Methanobacteria; Methanobacteriales; Methanobacteriaceae
Rfam family: tRNA
About the family: Transfer RNA (tRNA) molecules are approximately 80 nucleotides in length.
Source: Rfam